UGGGGAAUUUUGGACAAUGGGGGAAACCCUGAUCCAGCCAUCCCGCGUGUGCGAUGAAGGCCUUCGGGUUGUAAAGCACUUUUGGCAGGAAAGAAACGUCGCGGGUUAAUACCCCGCGGAACUGACGGUACCUGCAGAAUAAGCACCGGCUAACUACGUGCCAGCAGCCGCGGUAAUGCGUAGGGUGCAAGCGUUAAUCGGAAUUACUGGGGCGUAAAGCGUGCGCAGGCGGUUCGGAAAGAAAGAUGUGAAAUCCCAGAGCUUAACUUUGGAACUGCAUUUUUAAACUACCGGGCUAGAGUGUGUCAGAGGGAAGUGGAAUUCCGCGUGUAGCAGUGAAAUGCGUAGAUAUGCGGAGGAACACCGAUGGCGAAGGCAGCCUCCUGGGAUAACACUGACGCUCAUGCACGAAAGCGUGGGGAGCAAACAGGAUUAAAUACCCUGGUAGUCCACGCCCUAAAACGAUGUCAACUAGCUGUUGGGGUCUUCGGACCUUGGUAGCGCAGCUAACGCGUGAAGUUGACCGCCUGGGGAGUACGGUCGCAAGAUU
RNAcentral lists this ribosomal RNA (550 nucleotides) under uncultured bacterium. RNAcentral describes it as "partial 16S ribosomal RNA". It matches the Rfam family "Bacterial small subunit ribosomal RNA", at positions 355 to 895 of the family's 1533-position model. The record is from RNAcentral.